Trichomycterus rosablanca is the source of this 127-nucleotide small nucleolar RNA. RefSeq annotates it as small nucleolar RNA SNORA71. The transcript has a single exon. The record is from RefSeq and is a predicted model, not a curated record. NCBI's taxonomy places the organism in Eukaryota, Metazoa, Chordata, Actinopteri, Siluriformes, Trichomycteridae.
CCCUGUAUCGAAAGUGACUAUGGUGUCUGGUUGCCAAGUCAUUGAUACUACAGGAAGAGAAAGCCGAAAGUCUUUCCCGUGUUUGCAGGACAUUUUUAUUCCUGUUAAACCCUGAAUCUUUCACACA